AAAUUGAAUACACUGACUGACGUCAUUGGUGAGCGCCUCUACUGGCCUUCGAAAUGGGCUCGACUCCUUGGUCUUGAUUUUUUUUUUCCCCCAAUUGUCCCUCCGAAUAUCAACUUUUUAUAAAGAAAAGCCUGUUCGCGAUGACAUUUGGAGGUGAAUUGGCAGACAAGGUCAGCCAGGUGAUUUCAGAACUGGUUCCUGAGCGGGCUGACUGGCUCGCAAGUUUCAGUUUCUGUGCAGUACAGUAAAGCUACUUGCUUGCUCAGAGGAUAGCAAUGAAACCAGCUCAGGAGCGCAACCAGGAGUGCCUGCCUCCUAAGAAGAGGGACCUCCCAAUUAGUAACAGCAGUGAAACUGGAGGUACAGGGGGGUGUGGGGCUUCAGGAGGAGGUGGUGGCAGUGGAGGUGGCAGUGUUGCUGGUGGUGGUAUUGGAGAAGAUGAAGUGGUUUCCAUCCAGAACUCUGCAGCUAACAAUGACACUCAGGGAGGGACCCCAUCUGGAGAGUGGCUGCGAGCUCAGCCAGGGCUUCAUUAUGCAGUGGAUAGUUCUGAUAGCAUACCAGCAGCGCCCCUUGACCAGUACAGUAUGUUCUACAAAGUGGCUCUUCCAUCUGUUACCUACUCAUCUACUAGUCUUCACCCAGUGUUAAGCCACAUUUCUCCAGCUUACACUGUACACUCUCCUCUUCUGCAGCAUCCAGGCCUUUCCUAUCCUCCUCUUGGUUAUGCCCAGAUUCCUCAUUCCUCUUUCCAGUUUGUUAGUCCCCCUUAUGCAGCGGUACCUUAUGCUCUACCCCCUGGCUUUGUCCCGGGAUCAUUAAUCUCUCCCUCAGGCAAUAUUCCCCAGCCCCACACUGUAUCCCACCUUGUUCCCUAUCCAUCUGUCAUACAGGAAGGUGUUGUUUCUCCACCACCCCAGGGCCAGGUAGCUGCUCAUACCUUUGCCAAAGUUGCAGCAUCCAGUGGUGUCUCACUGAUGCUGCCUUCAGAGCAAGCUGCUCAGCAGCACCUUAGUACUGUAGGAGUCCUGCCUGCAACAGAGCUCAGCUCUCGAGGCAUGUCAGUUUUCUACCACUCUCAGAGCACCAAGACUGCCACUGCCACCAGAGACGCCCACGGUGCUGAGCAGGAGAAUGAACCAGAGAUAAAUGGAGGAGAUAAAGAACAAGGAACAAGGGAGGUUGUACCAGACUCAGCCUACACUGCCAGAAAUGCACAUCUGCCACAGGUAGCGCCCAGCUCUGUAGUACAGGAGCGUAGCCAAGACAGAGGCCUGCAAAACCGAAGGCUGGAAGAGAGGACCUCACCUGGGCAGCGCAGCACUCCAGACAGUGACCUGGAGGUGCAACAGGUGGUUGGUCAUCUGGCUUGCUCUGGCCACGGUGGUGGUGGAGUGAGGAAGGAAGUCUCAUUUGCUCCCCUGAACCUCUCUCAGGGUGUCCAGAGAGCUAGAGAGGUCCAUAGAGAGACCACAAGCCUAAUUUCCGGCCGGACUGGAUACAUGGCCCAGCCUGCGUGUUACAGUGACCCCAGAGUGACCUAUCUCCAGCAGCAAACAGGGCAGCCUGGCCACACUGUCAUGCUUGCCAAUGGGCAACCGGUUCUUAUUCCCCUGGAGUAUCACCCUCAGCAUCACCCCCAGCCCCAGCCCCCACAGCAGCUUUACCCAGGACAGGCUAAUGAUGCCUCAGCCACCAUGGCCUCCCCUAACCCAAGCUUUAAAGCCUCUGAUUCUUCAGCCACAGUGUGCCUCCCUGAAAGCGCGGAACCGGCUACAGCUCAGCAGCAGCUUUCCCAGCAGCCUCCUGUCCAGCCUACAGCAGAUGUGACUCAGGCCUUGGCAUCAACCCUUGCUCCUGCCCCAGGUCCCUGCAACCCAUCACACUUCAUGAAGGGUGCCAUUAUUCAGCUAGCUACUGGGGAACUGAAGCGUGUGGAGGACCUGCAGACUCAGGACUUUGUACGGAGUGCUGAGGUGAGUGGGGGGCUUAAGAUUGACUCCAGCAUGGUGGUGGACAUCCGUGCCAGCCAGCAGAGACCAGGUCUUAUGUCGCUUCACUUCACUGUGGGGGAACAGCAGAGUAAAGUGACCAUUGAUGUGCCCCCAGAGCACCCUUUUUUCGUGUUUGGCCAGGGCUGGUCGUCCUGUAGCCCGGAGCGAACAGCCCAGCUUUACGGCUUUUCCUGCCAUAAUUUGCAAGUAGGAGAUGUGUGUGUGUCUAUAACCCUGCAGCAACAGCUUCAGCCACAGCAGCAGAAACAACCACAGCAUCAUCAUUCACAGCAGCAACAACAACAGCAGAUCCUGUCCAGGACUUUGAGCAAAACCAACAUUACAUCAGCUCCUGGCCAUCAGCUCAUGGGGCCUCCGGCCCCUCAGCAGUCACGGCCUCAGUCUCAUGUCAGGAUAGAUCGCAUCCACAGAGAAAGACAGAGGGAUGGAGAGAAAGAUGUGGUCGAUAAGGAGGAAGCCACACAUUUUGGGGUCGUUGGGCACACUGAGUCAUCCAUCAGACCAAGCAAGAGUGCGGUAGAGCAUCUGAGGAGCCAGAGCAGUUACCACCUACAAACAGAGGGUUCUGCUUUUAUAGGGGCAGGCAUGGGAGCAAUGCAGUCUGCCUUAGGUGCUUCUCAGAGGCGCUGGUCCUUACCUGGCCUCCAAAGAUACAGUAUGAAGGGAGAUGAAGUGCCACGCCCUCAGAUAAGCACCUCCCGCCACUCAAGGCCCUCUUUCAUCCCCCAGGAGGUAAAACUGUCCAUUGAGGGGCGCUCAAAUGCAGGGAAGUAGCAUCACAAUUGGUAGCAACUAGAGAAGAGACUGCCACAACUAAAAAUUUGUCUGACAAGGAGAGAGAAAGAGGUAAAAAAAGAGUGUGAAUGUAGCCUCAGAGUGUGAGAGAUUUUGCACACCUAAAGUAUACAAAAAUACAAGAUCUUUGUCUGUUUGGUGAGAAGUUCUGGGUGUCACUCAGCCAAAGGACACAGGUCUGUGGUUACCCUGACAGCUGAGGUCUAACAGGGACAUGAAAAGCUGAGUAGAAAGUAUGUAGCUGAUGAAAUGCCUACCACAUCCUUACACACUGCAUUUCUUUUCCUCUCUCCCUCCUUUGUGGUCACUUCCUCAUGCCCACACUUGGAGGUUACCAUUGAAUUCAGAACAUUCUUGCUUCCUUUUUGACCAAACUGGCUCAUUGGAAGAUCACUGACUACCAGAGAUGUGUUUGUAGCACAGCAAACCUACAAGCUCUUUUGGGUUCUGGUGUAUGUAGAAGACAGCCAGUCAUCUUUUAUCUCCUUUGUUCCUAAGAUUGUGUUUCCUUCAAAAGCAGUUACCCAAAAAAGAAUGGCGUUGUUGACAUCAGCAGCUCCUGUGGUGAUGUUAGCACUGUUGAUGCUGUCAGUGUAUGUUACAUUAUGCUUCUCUGGCAGUAGUCCAAAACGUCUGCUGUUGGCAGAGAUACUCUCCCCUCCUUCCUUUUCAGGAGGCCGGUCAACAAAGAAUGGGAUCUUCUCUCAGGCAAGGCCGGUGACCUUUGAUGAAUUUUCAUCACCAAAGCCACCUGUGGGGAGUGAACCAGAGAGAGACGUUGCCAUGUCACAUCACUGGCUGCAUGCCACUCGAGCCUAACCCCCAGCAGAGUGGAAAAAACGUGUAGUUUGCCGUGGAGAGAGAAAAUCUGUGUGUCUUUAACUUGAGUUACUUUGCUUAGUUACCAAAUUAAAGCAAUAGGUUUUUUUAACAGUACACAGCUCUUGUUCAUUUCCAUUGAUUUUUCAGUAGUUAUACACAAAGCAUGUCUUUGACAAGAAAUCUUGAUAGAUAAAACUGCUUCUCUUUGAUUCUCUAUCUCACUGCUGAGAUCUUAUUUUAAAUGGGUUUACUCAAGUGCAUCUCAAGAAAGACCUGACUCUAACAGUGAUCUUUAUCAAGUUAGCUUCUGUUCUGUUUUAAUGCACACAGUCCCUUCACUUUUGUACUAGGAUACACUUUAUCCAGUGAAUCUUACGAUCGUCUUGCAUUGUACAUCACUCACUGAUUUCACACUGACCUUGUUAAUAGGAAUCACAGUACAGUAGUUGCUUUUUUUAAAUGAAGGGAAUAUGUUUGAAGUAUUGUUGCUGGCAUUUUGUGAUGAGAAAGAAAAAACUGACUUGCAUUUUUAACUCUGUUUACAAAUUAGCCAAGUUGAAUGCUGCAGUUUCCUCUUCCUUCCUUUGUCACUGAAAACAUCCAAAAGAGUAAAAUUUAAAGUAAGUGCAAUUAGACCACAUGAAAUCAUUCAGAGGUUAUCAGAUGACAUUCCUCACGCAGACAUUCAGAAAGUGUAAAUCAUACAGUUGUCAUUAAAUCGUUUCAUGCAAUUUCUGCUAUUUCCUAUUUAUCAGAUGUGCUCAGACAGGAGGAUCAGUUAGUUUCAUGUCAGGCAAUUUUGAUUCUGACAUAGGUGUUGCUGCUACACUUGCAUAACAUUUGAAUUAACCUGUCCAUCAGCACCUCUUUAAGUCAGCCCUUAAACCCUCGUCAUUCACCGAGUAUACAGCCUGAUCCUCUGUCCGCAGUUAGAGGGGCCAUGAAAUGGGCCAAGUAGACUCUCAUCCUCUGGCACCAUCAUUAUCGGUAGCAUUAGAGGAAGGGUUCACAUUUUUUUCAAGCCUGUCUUAAAACAUACCUAUUGGUCCCUGUAACUAUUCCUACUGUCCUUACUGGCCAUGAUUCACUUUAAGCUGUUAUGAGGCUUCUGCAGUCAGUCAGUCCAAAUUGAUUUCGUCCACAGUUACUGUAGUACACAAAUCACUCUUUUUGUUCCUGUUCCUCCAGUGCAGCUCAGUAAGCCAACACUUUGGCCUUUUCCCCUCAUAGGAACCUACCAACCUUAACUGAACAUGUACCCCUUGUUGUGGGUUCUGCUUUUGUUUCCACUACCCUCAGCCCACUUUGGGGAAGAGUUCCCAGAGGUACGUUUUGGCACCUGUCAGGAGGUAGUGCUAAAUCAUAUUCCAGGAACAGAGGGGGAAGGGGGUAGAUUAAACACCAGUGUCCUCAUGUCUGAAGUACUAGGUACAAGUACGGUGUGUGAACGUGCAUGAUUAACGAGCAUUGUGCACGCUGUUGAGCUGUGUGUCUGUGUGUGGAGUCCAGCCUUGGCCUCACGUAAACAGUAACCAACACAGAAAAAUGUAGUGGAAAAGCAAAGCGGAACUGUUGGAUUAACAGUAUGGGAAGCUCCAGGUUACGGCUUGUUAGGUUCUCAUGAUGGAAAACCACUAACUGUUGAGGGAGAAGAGAACAUUUCACUAAAAUAGCCCCCUGUGGAAGGUACCCGUGCGAGUCUAACCCACUGCUGCUGAAGUUUCAUGUUAGCUUCAUUUGUGCACAGAACGAGGACUGUGGAUUUUGUCCUCCAUCCUAUCAUUUAAGCUAGAAUGAUGUCUGGAAGAGAUCUCUUCUUUCUAGUAUGGACAAGAGAAUAACCUAUUAUUGUAUUAAGACAGACUUGAAAAAUUAUUCUUUAACAUGCUUUGCAAUGGGAGAUAAUCUAUCAUAAUAUAAUAACCAUUCAGACAAUUUUUCAGCAGUUAAGAACACAUCAUCAGAAGCUCCACACACACCAAGGUUUUUUCAUGAUGUAAGCAAUACCUGAAAACAUUUCAUUUAGUCUUGGGAUUUUCUAUGCAGUAAACUCAGUGUUGUACUCUUCUUAAGUACAGCUCUCUGAAUCUGUCGGGCAGUUUGGCUGAUGCAGUCAUUUUACACUGAUGUCUGGUUUAAAUAACUUAAAAAAUAGGAAUACAGAUCUGUAUUUUGCUUUGUUACUUUCUGUUUUUUGCUUGGUGGUCCCCAUCUUCCUAGGAACAGCACACCAACAGAUGAUUUUAUCGUCAUCUUGUGAUGCAACAAAGCCAAAUCUCAAGACAAGUGUCACCCAAAUUUUCAUGUUUGUCCAGCGUUAUUUUGGCAUGUUUGCCAAGCCAUUUCAACUUUUUAGGUCAAGAUGCAUUUGGUGGGAUUUAAAUGGUGCAAGCAGUGCCACAUGUGACUUUACCUCCUGUUCAUUUUCACAGCAAGACCAUCCUGUGCAGCCGUGAGCUUGUUAUGUUUUCGCCCUCUGCUUUUUGAGCAGUGUACCACAGGAAAGCUCGACUCCUUAUUCACAUCACUAAUAGUCUGUUGCUGUAAGUAAUUGCACUAAAUGCCCUCCUUUACAGUGUUUUGUGAUGAAAACCGUUAGUAAGUUGAGGAGUUUCAAGAUGUAAAGCACACAAAAAUCACGGAGAAAUCACAGGCUGUGUGUUUCUGUAGAUAGAUGUAUUUUUUUGUAUAGCUAGUUUUGAUGCUUGUCGAUAAUGCCUUAAAUUGUGCUUUGUACAAUGUGUGAAACUGAGGUAAUGGAAACAUGCUUCUGGUAAACUUGGUGUUCCCUAUUCAGGCUGCACAAGAGCAGAUCAGAACUAUGAUGACUGUUGUGCUUUGGAGCAGAAAUUCAAAGAGUGACAGUGAACUCUCUCUGGGUCUCAGAUGGUUCAGUCAUGUGACUCUGCAACUUUUUGUUUUUAGCUUUUUGUCUUCAUUUUCUAUUGUUAGAUUUUUGUAUUCAUUCUAAAUACUUAACAAUUUACUCCUGUUUUUAAAUGCAUGGAAGUGAAGUAAAUGGAGGUUCUUCUCUGCACUUUUUACAAGAUGAUGCCAAGAGUGUUAACAGCAGAAGGAAAUCCAUUAAUUCCACACACACAGACAGAAAAACAUGCACUCUGUUUUUAUUUUUGUUGCACAAGAUCCUUAGUUGUGUUUUUUUUUUUUUACCCCUAAAAUUACUGGAUUGUGUUUGGUGUCUUGUGCUGUGUCCUUUAGUCUUGGGACUGCAGAAGGUGGGUCUCAUUAAAAGUGCAUAAAUCCGAUAUCUCUCCAUCGGUGGUAAUAUGAUGGUUGAUUGCGUUUUGUGACGUGGCAGUGGGGAUUUUCACUCCGUGUGUGAACUGCUUCCUAUUGUUUGAUCCAGUAUUGAACUGCAAAGGCGAAUCUAGAACAGUUUUGGUGUUGCUGAUGUCGAAUUAAAUCAGGAGAUUGAGAGCGGUUGAAAGUUUUACUGAAGUCUGUGUAUUUUCAGAUUUAACAUUAUACUUUUUUGGCACAAGGUAACUGCUUUUUAUGUGACGUGCAACUGUCUAAAAAUGAAACAAAAAACAGCAUUUUUUUUUUAAUGCCUAAAUCUGCAAAAUAUAUGCAAUGAUGUACACGUAACAUUCAAUCCUCAAGUAUAAUCCAGGUUGUAUGAACUUUGUAUAGUGAGUUUUAAUAUCAUAUGGCUGUACCAAUAUGUAUUAAUCUUUAUCAGAAGCCUUAGAGUUGUUGACCCAAAGUGCUCCCUUAGAAAACCCUUCGCCUACCUGACUUUAACAAAGCAUUAAUAUCUUUAUUUUGUUGCAAUUUUAUUUGUACCCCUUUUGAAUAAAAUAGAUUUGUACUGUAUAUUUGUACCUCUGUGAACUACUAGGGCAGUUGUUGGUUUUCUUUUUUUUUUUCUGUUUUAAUUCUAUGUACUUCAAGGACACAAAGAUAUUGUAUUUUUAUUGUUACAGCUAACUUGGAGAG
This is an RNA transcript of Monopterus albus (swamp eel), 7592 nucleotides long. It is a transcript of the gene named ataxin 1-like, with no coding region annotated. The transcript is spliced from 4 exons. NCBI's taxonomy places the organism in Eukaryota, Metazoa, Chordata, Actinopteri, Synbranchiformes, Synbranchidae. The record is from RefSeq and is a predicted model, not a curated record.